This 384-nucleotide long non-coding RNA is filed under the name Parus major (Great Tit). RNAcentral's name for it is "lncRNA (ENSPMJG00000008280.1)". The record is from RNAcentral. Lineage: Eukaryota; Metazoa; Chordata; Aves; Passeriformes; Paridae.
UGGGCGCUGUAGUCCGGCCCCCUGAGGAGCGCGGGGGCUGACGGGACGUGUAGUCCCGGCCCUCAGGAGUAAAGAGCGCUCCUGCCCGCCUCAUCCCACUCCUUAAUGAUAUUUACUACUUAUUUAUUAAUUCUUCAUGUGCCCUGUUCAUUUUGGAGACACAUAUAAUUAUUCUUAGCUUAUCCAUCCUUGAGGUAAAAAGGUCCAGUGAAUGGGAAUGGAAAGCCAACAAACCAGAAUCUGAAAGCAGCCAAGUAGGGCGACCGCAUCCCACAGAUGUCCGGCAUGGAGAACCCGGGAGCUGCAGGACACGGCAGAGCCUCCCCGAGGUCAGCAGGAUGAGAAUAUCUGUGCAAAGAAGGGAUGGCUUCUCUGGGAUGGAUU